This 484-nucleotide ribosomal RNA is filed under the name uncultured bacterium. RNAcentral's name for it is "partial 16S ribosomal RNA". It matches the Rfam family "Bacterial small subunit ribosomal RNA", at positions 30 to 507 of the family's 1533-position model. The record is from RNAcentral.
AUUGAACGCUAGCGGGAUGCUUUACACAUGCAAGUCGAACGGCAGCGCGGACUUCGGUCUGGCGGCGAGUGGCGAACGGGUGAGUAAUGUAUCGGAACGUGCCCAGUAGCGGGGGAUAACUACGCGAAAGCGUAGCUAAUACCGCAUACGCCCUACGGGGGAAAGCAGGGGAUCGUAAGACCUUGCACUAUUGGAGCGGCCGAUAUCGGAUUAGCUAGUUGGUGAGAUAACGGCUCACCAAGGCGACGAUCCGUAGCUGGUUUGAGAGGACGACCAGCCACACUGGGACUGAGACACGGCCCAGACUCCUACGGGAGGCAGCAGUGGGGAAUUUUGGACAAUGGGGGCAACCCUGAUCCAGCCAUCCCGCGUGUGCGAUGAAGGCCUUCGGGUUGUAAAGCACUUUUGGCAGGAAAGAAACGUCGCGGGCUAAUACCCCGUGGAACUGACGGUACCUGCAGAAUAAGCACCGGCUAACUACGUG